Molecule: ribosomal RNA, 451 nt
Filed under: uncultured bacterium
Lineage: Bacteria
Description: partial 16S ribosomal RNA
Rfam family: Bacterial small subunit ribosomal RNA
Source: RNAcentral
AGCGAACGCUGGCGGAAUGCUUAACACAUGCAAGUCGCACGGGGGCCUCGGCUCGAGUGGUGGACGGGUGAGUAACGCGUAGGAACGUGUCUUGGGGUGGGGGAUAACGCUGGGAAACUGGCGCUAAUACCGCAUAUGGGCUGAGGCCCAAAGCCUUCGGGUGCCUUGAGAGCGGCCUGCGUCCGAUUAGCUAGUUGGUGGGGUAACUGCUUACCAAGGCGACGAUCGGUAGCUGGUCUGAGAGGACGAUCAGCCACACUGGGACUGAGACACGGCCCAGACUCCUACGGGAGGCAGCAGUGGGGAAUAUUGGACAAUGGGCGGAAGCCUGAUCCAGCAAUUCCGCGUGGGUGAAGAAGGUCUUCGGAUUGUAAAGCCCUUUCGACAGGGACGAUGAUGACGGUACCUGUAGAAGAAGCCCCGGCUAACUUCGUGCCAGCCGCCGCGGUAA